AACGAACGCUGGCGGCAUGCCUAACACAUGCAAGUCGAACGAGACCUUCGGGUCUAGUGGCGCACGGGUGCGUAACGCGUGGGAACCUGCCCUUAGGUUCGGAAUAACUCUCCGAAAGGGGUGCUAAUACCGGAUAAUGUCUUCGGACCAAAGAUUUAUCGCCUUUGGAUGGGCCCGCGUUGGAUUAGCUAGUUGGUAGGGUAAAAGCCUACCAAGGCGACGAUCCAUAGCUGGUCUGAGAGGAUGAUCAGCCACACUGGGACUGAGACACGGCCCAGACUCCUACGGGAGGCAGCAGUGGGGAAUAUUGGAAAAUGGGCGAAAGCCUGAUCCAGCAAUGCCGCGUGAGUGAUGAAGGCCUUAGGGUUGUAAAGCUCUUUUACCCGGGAUGAUAAUGACAGUACCGGGAGAAUAAGCUCCGGCUAACUCCGUG
RNAcentral lists this ribosomal RNA (433 nucleotides) under uncultured bacterium. RNAcentral's name for it is "partial 16S ribosomal RNA". It matches the Rfam family "Bacterial small subunit ribosomal RNA", at positions 29 to 507 of the family's 1533-position model. The record is from RNAcentral.